Molecule: transfer RNA, 73 nt
Filed under: Pteropus alecto (black flying fox)
Lineage: Eukaryota; Metazoa; Chordata; Mammalia; Chiroptera; Pteropodidae
Rfam family: tRNA
About the family: Transfer RNA (tRNA) molecules are approximately 80 nucleotides in length. Their secondary structure includes four short double-helical elements and three loops (D, anti-codon, and T loops). Further hydrogen bonds mediate the characteristic L-shaped molecular structure. tRNAs have two regions of fundamental functional importance: the anti-codon, which is responsible for specific mRNA codon recognition, and the 3' end, to which the tRNAs corresponding amino acid is attached (by aminoacyl-tRNA synthetases). tRNAs cope with the degeneracy of the genetic code in two manners: having more than one tRNA (with a specific anti-codon) for a particular amino acid; and 'wobble' base-pairing, i.e. permitting non-standard base-pairing at the 3rd anti-codon position.
Source: Rfam by way of RNAcentral
GGUUCCAUAGUGUAGCAGUUAGCACGUCUGCUUUACACACAGAAGGUCCUGGGUUCGUGCCCCAGUGGAGCCA